Molecule: ribosomal RNA, 116 nt
Filed under: Tetramelas anisomerus
Lineage: Eukaryota; Fungi; Ascomycota; Lecanoromycetes; Caliciales; Physciaceae
Description: Buellia anisomera partial 28S ribosomal RNA
Rfam family: Eukaryotic large subunit ribosomal RNA
Source: RNAcentral
AUUGACCUCGGAUCAGGUAGGGAUACCCGCCGAACUUAAGCAUAUCAAUAAGCGGAGGAAAAGAAACCAACAGGGAUUGCCUCAGUACCGGCGAGUGAAGCGGCAACAGCUCAAAU